CCUUUGUACACACCGCCCGUCGCUACUACCGAUUGAAUGGCUCAGUGAGGCUUCCGGACUGGCCUAAGGAGGUCGGCAACUACCACUCAGGGCCGGAAAGCUCUCCAAACUCGGUCAUUUAGAGG
Molecule: ribosomal RNA, 125 nt
Filed under: Hypocreales sp.
Lineage: Eukaryota; Fungi; Ascomycota; Sordariomycetes; Hypocreales
Description: partial small subunit ribosomal RNA
Rfam family: Eukaryotic small subunit ribosomal RNA
Source: RNAcentral